AUAUUUACCUGGCAGGGGAGAUACCAUGAUCACCAAGGUGGUUUUCCCAGGGCGAGGAUUAUCCAUUGCACUCCAGAUGUGCUGAGCCCUGUGAUUUCCCCAAAUGUGGGAAACUCAAUUGCAUAAUUUGCAAUAGUGGGGAAUGACAUUCAUGCUCUUCCCUG
Molecule: small nuclear RNA, 164 nt
Organism: Dipodomys spectabilis (banner-tailed kangaroo rat)
Lineage: Eukaryota; Metazoa; Chordata; Mammalia; Rodentia; Heteromyidae
Product: U1 spliceosomal RNA
Exons: 1
Source: RefSeq, a predicted model, not a curated record